This 1060-nucleotide ribosomal RNA is filed under the name human gut metagenome. RNAcentral's name for it is "bacterial LSU rRNA". It matches the Rfam family "Bacterial large subunit ribosomal RNA", at positions 1861 to 2925 of the family's 2925-position model. The record is from RNAcentral.
GCCCGGUGCUGGAAGGUUAAAAGGAGAUGUGCAAGCAUUGAAUUGAAGCCCCAGUGAACGGCGGCCGUAACUAUAACGGUCCUAAGGUAGCGAAAUUCCUUGUCAGGUAAGUUCUGACCCGCAUGAAAGGCGUAAUGAUUUGGGCACUGUCUCAACAGCCCGCCCGGCGAAAUUGUAGUACCGGUGAAGAUGCCGGUUACCCGCGACAAGACGGAAAGACCCCAUGGAGCUUUACUGUAGCCUAAUAUUGGGUUUCGAUGUUGCAUGCACAGGAUAGAUGGGACUCUGGGAAACCAAGGCUUUGGCUUUGGCGGAGAGGCCGUUGGGAUACCAUCCUUGCGAUAUUGGAAUUCUAACCUGCGGCUCUGAAUCGAGUCGGGGGACAUUGUUAGGUGGGCAGUUUGACUGGGGCGGUCGCCUCCUAAAGAGUAACGGAGGCGUUCAAAGGUUCGCUCAGCUUGAACGGAAAUCAAGCAAAAGAGUGCAAACGCAGAAGCGAGCCUAACUGCGAGACUGACGGGUCGAGCAGUAACGAAAGUUGGAGUUAGUGAUCCGGUGGUAUGUGAGUGGAAAUGCCAUCGCUCAACGGAUAAAAGUUACCCUGGGGAUAACAGGCUGAUCUCCCCCAAGAGUCCACAUCGACGGGGAGGUUUGGCACCUCGAUGUCGGCUCAUCGCAUCCUGGGGCUGUAUUCGGUCCCAAGGGUUUGGCUGUUCGCCAAUUAAAGCGGUACGCGAGCUGGGUUCAGAACGUCGUGAGACAGUUCGGUCCCUAUCUGUCGUGGGCGCAGGAUAUUUGAUGGGAGCUGUCCCUAGUACGAGAGGACCGGGACGGACGUACCUCUGGCGCACCAGUUGUUCCGCCAGGAGCAUAGCUGGGCAACUACGUACGGAUCGGAUAAACGCUGAAAGCAUCUAAGCGUGAAGCCGACCCAAAGAUAAGAUAUCCCACUGAUUCAAUCAGGUAAGAUCCCUUGUAGACUACGAGGUUGAUAGGCACGAUGUGUAAGUGGAGCGAUCCAUUCAGCAAGUGUGUACUAAUAGAUCGAGGGCUUGACCAC